GAGUUUGAUCUUGGCUCAGGAUGAACGCUAGCUGGAGGCUUAAUACAUGCAAGUCGAGCGGCAGCGCGGGGCAACCUGGCGGCGAGCGGCGAACGGGUGAGUAAUGCAUCGGAACAUGUCCUGUCGUGGGGGAUAGCCCGGCGAAAGCCGGAUUAAUACCGCAUACGUCCGAGAGGAGAAAGUGGGGGACCGCAAGGCCUCACGCGAUUGGGUUGGCCGAUGUCCGAUUAGCUAGUUGGUGGGGUAAAGGCCCACCAAGGCGAUGAUCGGUAGCUGGUCUGAGAGGAUGGAUCAGCCACACCUGGGACUGAGACACGGCCCAGACUCCUACGGGAGGCAGCAGUGGGGAAUUUUGGACAAUGGGGGCAACCCUGAUCCAGCCAUUCCGCGUGAGUGAAGAAGGCCUUCGGUUGUAAG
RNAcentral lists this ribosomal RNA (417 nucleotides) under uncultured beta proteobacterium. RNAcentral describes it as "bacterial SSU rRNA". It matches the Rfam family "Bacterial small subunit ribosomal RNA", at positions 9 to 429 of the family's 1533-position model. Lineage: Bacteria; Pseudomonadati; Pseudomonadota; Betaproteobacteria. The record is from RNAcentral.